Molecule: ribosomal RNA, 253 nt
Filed under: uncultured bacterium
Lineage: Bacteria
Description: partial 16S ribosomal RNA
Rfam family: Bacterial small subunit ribosomal RNA
Source: RNAcentral
UACGGAGGGUGCGAGCGUUGUCCGGAAUCACUGGGCGUAAAGGGCGCGUAGGCGGUCGGGGGCGCGCGCGGUGAAAGCCCGGGGCUCAACCCCGGGUCGGCCGUGCGGACGGCCCGACUGGAGCACUGUAGGGGCGGGCGGUAUUCCGGGAGUAGCGGUGGAAUGCGUAGAGAUCCGGAAGAACACCGGUGGCGAAGGCGGCCCGCUGGGCAGUGGCUGACGCUGAGGCGCGACAGCGUGGGGAGCAAACAGG